Molecule: ribosomal RNA, 1077 nt
Filed under: Triticum aestivum (bread wheat)
Lineage: Eukaryota; Viridiplantae; Streptophyta; Magnoliopsida; Poales; Poaceae
Description: partial small subunit ribosomal RNA
Source: RNAcentral
AUGAGGAAGGCGGCCGCGGCCUCGCGCUACGCCUCCUACGACGACUCCCCGUCGCCCUCCCCGUCCCCGCGCCGCGCCGGGCCUGCCGCCGCCGCCGCAUCGGGGACGCCGGGGCAGCAGCACGGGAGCCGCGCGCUGGUCGCGGUCAGAUCUGGCCGCGGCGACCUGCGCUGCCAGGCGCCGCAGCCCCACGGCAACCUGGGCUCCGUGCUCCGGAGGCUCAUCUCCAUGGACAAGAAGCCCAGCGCCAAGAACCUCCUCCCCGUCCCUCCCGCCGCCGCUGCCGCCCCCGCGAAGAACGGCAGCGGGGCCAAGCUGCCGGGGCUGUCGCGGAAGCUGUUCCAGAAGGCGCCGCCGGAGGCCAAGAAGAAGGCCCUCACGGAGGUCAAGAACAGCGGCAACGCCAACACGCGGACGCUCGCCAUGGUGCUGCGCAGCGAGCGGGAGCUCCUGUCGCAGAGCAAGGAGCAGGAGGACGAGAUCGCCGCGCUCCGCCUCCAGCUCGAGCAGAAGGACAGGGAGGUCGAGCGGCUCAAGGACCUGUGCCUGCGCCAGCGAGAGGAGAUCAGCACGCUCAAGGACGCAGUGCUGUUCCCGGACACGCAGCCGGACCUCCACGUCCGGGAUGAGAUUUCGACUCUCACCGGGCAGAUCCAAUGCCUUGCCGAGGAGCUCGCCCAGGUCAAGGCCGAGAAGAACACCCCAAGAUCAUGUUUUGAUGAUGAAUAUUGCUCCUCCCCAAGCACGCCCGUGCUUAACGAGGAGACCGCCUUCUCUCUGGAGUGCAGCAUCGGCGAAGCGGAGACGCCACCAAACUACGGUAGCCCCGACGAAAUGUUCGUCAAGGAUCUCAACCCUUGCCUAACCCCUUUCUCCAAGAGCAGAUCCGAGGAGUACGAGGAAUCCUUGAGCUCUCACCGCAGCAAGGCGAGGCCGGACCCCCACCUCUCCAGCUCGCGCCGCAGGCCGGUGUCGAAGAGCUCCGACCACCACCACAAGCCCACCUCGGGCACCGGGAGCAGCAAGCGGCGAGCGCACCGGUCCGACCAGGACAAGUCCUGCCAGAACCUGUUUUAG